Molecule: ribosomal RNA, 225 nt
Filed under: uncultured bacterium
Lineage: Bacteria
Description: partial 16S ribosomal RNA
Rfam family: Bacterial small subunit ribosomal RNA
Source: RNAcentral
GGUUUAAUUCGAUGAUACGCGAGGAACCUUACCCGGGCUUGAAUUGCAGAGGAAGGAUUUGGAGACAAUGACGCCCCUUCGGGGUCUCUGUGAAGGUGCUGCAUGGUUGUCGUCAGCUCGUGCCGUGAGGUGUCGGCUUAAGUGCCAUAACGAGCGCAACCCCUCUCCUUAGUUGCCAUCAGUUGAAGCUGGGCACUCUGGGGACACUGCCACCGUAAGGUGUGA